Molecule: non-coding RNA, 102 nt
Organism: Otolemur garnettii (small-eared galago)
Lineage: Eukaryota; Metazoa; Chordata; Mammalia; Primates; Galagidae
Source: Rfam
GUGCUUGCUUCAGCAGCACAUAAAACUGGAACGGUACAGAGAAGAUUAGCAUGGCCCCUGCACAAGGAUGACACGCAAAUCCGUGAAGUGUUCCAUAUUUAA